GACGAACGCUGGCGGCGUGCUUAACACAUGCAAGUCGAACGGGUCUGCCCUGUUUUUUGCGGGGUGGGUCAGUGGCGAACGGGUGAGUAACACGUGAGUAACCUGCCCCUCACUUCUGGAUAACCGCUUGAAAGGGUGGCUAAUACGGGGUGUUCUGGCUGUGCCGCAUGGUGUGGCUGGGAAAGAUUCACUUUUGUGGUGUUUUGGUGGGGGAUGGGCUCGCGGCCUAUCAGCUUGUUGGUGGGGGGAUGGCCUGCCAAGGCUUUGACGGGUAGCCGGCCUGGGAGGGUGGGCGGUCACACUGGGACUGAGAUACGGCCCAGACUCCUGCGGGAGGCAGCAGUGGGGGGUAUUGCACAAUGGGCGGAAGCCUGAUGCAGCGACGUCGCGUGAGGGAUGGAGGCCUUCGGGUUGUGAACCUCUUUCGCCGGUGAAGAAGGUCCUGCUCUUUGUGGUGGGGUUGACGGUAGCCGGGUUAUGAAGCGCCGGCUAACUACGUG
This 500-nucleotide ribosomal RNA is filed under the name uncultured bacterium. Its description in RNAcentral is "partial 16S ribosomal RNA". It matches the Rfam family "Bacterial small subunit ribosomal RNA", at positions 28 to 507 of the family's 1533-position model. The record is from RNAcentral.